UCGAGGAUCUUUUGCAAUGCCCGAAAGGGUGACAAUGCGACGCCGCGUGUGCGAUGAAGGUUUUCGGAUUGUAAAGCACUGUCGACCGGGAUGAAUCUCUGGAGGCGUAACAUGCUUUCAGGGUGACAGUACCGGUAGAGGAAGCCACGGCUAACUCCGUGCCAGCAGCCGCGGUAAUACGGAGGUGGCAAGCGUUACUCGGAUUGAUUGGGUGUAAAGGGUGUGUAGGUGGUGAAUUAAGUCGAAUGUGAAAUCCCUUGGCUUAACCAAGGAACUGCAUUCGAAACUGAUUUGCUUGAGCAAUGGAGAGGUAAGUGGAAUUCCCGGUGUAACAGUGAAAUGUGUAGAUAUCGGGAGGAACACCAGUGGCGAAGGCGACUUACUGGACAUUUGCUGACACUGAAACACGAGAGCAUGGGGAGCAAACAGG
RNAcentral lists this ribosomal RNA (430 nucleotides) under uncultured bacterium. RNAcentral's name for it is "bacterial SSU rRNA". It matches the Rfam family "Bacterial small subunit ribosomal RNA", at positions 355 to 776 of the family's 1533-position model. The record is from RNAcentral.